AACGAACGCUGGCGGCAUGCCUAACACAUGCAAGUCGAACGAGACCUUCGGGUCUAGUGGCGCACGGGUGCGUAACGCGUGGGAACCUGCCCUUAGGUUCGGCAUAACUCCCCGAAAGGGGUGCUAAUACCGGAUAAUGUCUUCGGCCCAAAGAUUUAUCGCCUUUGGAUGGGCCCGCGUUGGAUUAGCUAGUUGGUAGGGUAAAAGCCUACCAAGGCGACGAUCCAUAGCUGGUCUGAGAGGAUGAUCAGCCACACUGGGACUGAGACACGGCCCAGACUCCUACGGGAGGCAGCAGUGGGGAAUAUUGGACAAUGGGCGAAAGCCUGAUCCAGCAAUGCCGCGUGAGUGAUGAAGGCCUUAGGGUUGUAAAGCUCUUUUACCCGGGAUGAUAAUGACAGUACCGGGAGAAUAAGCUCCGGCUAACUCCGUG
RNAcentral lists this ribosomal RNA (433 nucleotides) under uncultured bacterium. RNAcentral describes it as "partial 16S ribosomal RNA". It matches the Rfam family "Bacterial small subunit ribosomal RNA", at positions 29 to 507 of the family's 1533-position model. The record is from RNAcentral.